CGCUUCGGCGCGCAUUUGGAAUUUCGCGCCCGCUUGACCGCGGCGAGACCGGAGGGCGCGGAAGGUACGGCGCGCCGCCAUCGGCUCCUCCGACGCGGCCUGCGUGGCGAGGCGCAGGCCGGUGGCAAGCGGCGACGGCGGCCGCGGAACAGCUUCUUCAGUGAUCAUGCUGGAAUGGAGCUGCUGUUGGCGUCUUUUAGCUUCUUUACAAACUUUUUGAUGCAAAGGUGUGUUUUUAGUUUCAUCUGCAUACUUUGUAUUUCUAAACUAGUGACGGUCAAUGGUGAAAAUAAAUACUCUAGGGGUCUUUAUGAGUAAUUGCAUUCAGUUGGCACCACAUGGGCUUUACGUUUAAUACUAUUCCUGCACACAUGCAUGAAUUUGUUUCAAACCUGACAGUCGGGCUGUAACGCCAAAGUCUUCCGCAGCGACCACCUGCCACCCGCCACCGAUGUUAUCCUACGGAACUGGCGAUGCUCCUGCCCUAUCUGUAAGUCAAUUCUGAAGGCAGCAUGGAUCCGGAGUUUAGCCCCCCACCCCCCUCCUGCUCUAUCUGUAAGUCAAUUCUGAAAGCGUUACCUCUAUGGAAGAAGAGGCACCGGGCAAAUUUAAAUUUCUCCAGGCCUUGCAAAAGCAAUACAGGAGAGGUAGAGAGUAAGGUGUUAGCCCCCCUCCCCCUGCUUAUCUGUAAGUAAUUCGGAAAGUGUUACCUCUAUGGUUGAGGAGGCACCGGGCAAAUUCAAAUUUCUCCAGGCCAUGCAAAAGCAAUACAGGAGAGGUAGAGAGUAAGAUGUAGGCAAGGACGGACUUACCGGACAAGUGGCAAUCAUGUCAAAGUUUACCGCCUUGUUCUGUACUGUCGGCAAGUCAUCCUUCGCUGCAUUCCACUUUCCGCCUCUUUGUGCAUGGCUCUUGCGGCAGUGAACUCGUCACUCUGACUUCUCUAUAUCAGCUAUUCAGCUAUGGAGGUGCUUCUGGUAUACAUCGAUGGAAGGGUAUUUAUAGGGGCAGCACUGCAACUUGAUCUGGAAUGACACUGAAAAUCUCUUUUUGAAAGUUAGUGCCGUAACUUUUCCCCUUUCUAGUGAAAAUGAUGACCUAUCCAUGCGUUGGGGCUUUAUAGAUUUCCAACUUUUAAGAAUAUAUCUGCGGACCAAAAGCCUAGGAGCUGGCAUCUAUGGAAUUCUUUUGUUAGGUAGGUUAUGUGAUACUAUAUAGGUUACACUGCUGGAUGGGGCUCAGUCUACAGAAAAUUCCAGGGUUUUUUAUUAGUUGUAUAGUACCAUGGAGAAAAAAAACUAGUGGUGCUAAACUGUAAAGUAAUUUCUGUUUUUCAGCCAGUCUAAAUAGCUUCGCAUGUUGUCAUGUGCAUCAUCACAUGAUAUUUGAUCCAUGCUUCUAGUUUGCCAAGGAAUUUCAUGUGAUCUGGUACUUGGAGGGACGUGCUUCUGCCUUUAGAUUUACCUUUUUGGCUCCCCCCCUCUUGUCUCGGCACUGCAACCUUGAUAAUUUUGCAUGAUCAUUGAUUUGUGCCAUCCUUGAAAUGUUAAAUGAUACCUGCAAGCUCAAAGGAAGUUACUGUGUUGUGUGAAGCUAAAAUGUACAUUAGUGUGUGAUGAUGGGAAAGCUGCUUGGCGAACACCUGUUGCGUGUUGAAAUCACGGGUAGAUUGUAUUGAAGAAUAAAGGGUAAAUGUUCGAUCUCUGCGGCCUAAAAGUUUACCUAAAUUUAAUUCUGAGUUCGCUUCAUUUUAUUUAUUUUGGAAGAUAUCCGAGGCUUAAUAUUAUGAAAAGUCAUGGUGCACUGUUCUAAAUCACUCGAAUUUCAUGAUGCUAUUCUAAAUUACUCGAUUGGGUAUGUAGAGACUCGAUCGCAGCAGACAUCUCAUACAGGUUUCCCUAUUGGUCGAACACCACCCAAGUUGGGCUCCAAUGGUACUUUGAGCAACAACCAUCGAUCUUACUUGUAUAGUUUGAGGAAGUUUUUGAUUGGUUCAUUGAUGUGUACGGUCUGUUAACUUAACUACACAAUUUUUCUGUGAGCUGUGCCUUUCAUUGGGUUUUAUGUUUGAUUGUUGCAAGAAGAGCUUGUAAGUUUUGUAUUAAGUUUAGUCAAACAAGUACUAGCAGUAGAUGGAUCAUGUUCAUAGAGGCGUUAGGUCAUCCUGAGAUUCAGUUUGGUAGCCAAGUUGGAUGCCAACGUGCAUUAUGAAUUACUUGUAGUCUUGUACCAAUAAUUAGCUGAUUUGAUGUGGUUUUAAGGUUUGACGAGUUACACAUUUGUAUCACAAUACACAAUUUGCAGCUCCCACAUGGUCAUCAUUUCGCUAAAAAAACAAAACUUCCCAUGACUGUAUUGCGUGUAGCUGACCGGAUAUAUAUAUAUAAAUGCAAUGGCACUUUAUAGAAUCUGACUUUCAUUAUCAUAAAGUAUCUACACUGUGGUACUAGAAAUACGUUUGUCCAUUGUUCACCGCCACAUGCAUAUCUCAUAGUACAGAUCAGGCCAUGUCUAGAUCCCAUUCUGGGGUACUGCCAUUGGAUGUUUCUAUGUACCCUAUCACCAAUUUGUUUAAUAUAUGUGAAGGAGAGGCAAUUCUGUGGCAAUCAGAAUGCAAACCAAAAUUACUUAUCUACUAGAAUAACAUAACUUGCUUGCAAAAUAAGCGACAACUACUUACAUUUAACAGUGUGAUGAUCUGACUAUCGAUAAAACAAGCUGCUCUUUCAUUUGCUAUAGUGAUGUUUCAAGACAAAUCAUGGUAUUCUUAAGUUUCUCCAGUGCAACCUCCCAAGUUAUUUUAAACAACCUCUGAAGUUAGUCACCAUUCAUUACUGCUGUUGAAGCUCAUUCAAUGCUAUUGAUAAAUUGGAUUUCUGCUAUUUGAACAAUUCACGCUAUAUAACCUAUAUCUCUUUAAUUAGUUAUCUUAUGACACGUUUUAUCAGCAGAAGCUGCAAGCAUUGGUUUUCAUCCUAUAUUACAUCAGACAUCAUCAGAUGUAAUUCGGAGUAGUACUGCCUUGCUGUCUCAGCUUCUGUGGAAGUGUCCCAAUGAAGUGGACUUUUUUGCAGGUUUUAUUACAGCAUAUUGCAAUCUUCCAUAAUAGUCUGCGGUGCCAAUUAUGCAUACAUUUUUAAAAUAUUUUAUUAUGUAUACACUUUGAGUGAGUGCUUCCCCAGGAUCAUUUAAUAUAUCGAUGGCUAUAUGCCCCCAAUAUUUGAUGUUAGCACUGUAUCUGAGUAAAUAUAUAUAGGUAUACAUUUAUGGGAGGAACGGAAAUUCAGUUUAUGUUAUUAUACAGAUUCAUGUCAUUGGUCCGCAAUUCCAUGUGUUGGGCAGAAAAAUGGAUUAUCUGAGCACACAUUAUACAGGGAAUGCAAAGGAGGUACUGGCAAUCUGUCCUGGAUAUGACCACCAAAAAAUCACUAGAUUCUACUUUAUAGCUGUACCACUUAUUUUAUGAAUGAGCAUCAAUAAAAGAACUGUGUCUUCUGA
Long non-coding RNA from Hordeum vulgare subsp. vulgare (domesticated barley), 3498 nucleotides. RefSeq lists it as uncharacterized. The record is from RefSeq and is a predicted model, not a curated record. NCBI's taxonomy places the organism in Eukaryota, Viridiplantae, Streptophyta, Magnoliopsida, Poales, Poaceae. The transcript is spliced from 2 exons.